Molecule: transfer RNA, 71 nt
Filed under: Chitinophagaceae bacterium
Lineage: Bacteria; Pseudomonadati; Bacteroidota; Chitinophagia; Chitinophagales; Chitinophagaceae
Description: tRNA-Gln
Rfam family: tRNA
About the family: Transfer RNA (tRNA) molecules are approximately 80 nucleotides in length.
Source: RNAcentral
UGCCCGAUAGUAUAAUGGUAGUACAGCAGAUUCUGGUUCUGCGUGUCAGGGUUCGAAUCCUUGUCGGGCAA